UGGGGAAUAUUGGACAAUGGGGGCAACCCUGAUCCAGCCAUGCCGCGUGAAUGAUGAAGGCCUUCGGGUUGUAAAGUUCUUUUAGCGGGGAAAAUAAUGAUGGUACCCGCAGAAAAAGCACCGGCUAACUUCGUGCCAGCAGCCGCGGUAAUACGAAGGGUGCUGGCGUUGCUCGGAAUUACUGGGCGUAAAGGGUUUGUAGGCGGUCUAUUAAGCUAGUGGUGAAAGCCCAGGGCUCAACCCUGGAAUUGCCAUUAGAACUGGUAGGCUAGAGAGUGUUAGAGGUAAGUGGAAUUCCUAGUGUAGGAGUGAAAUCCGUAGAGAUUAGGAGGAAUAUCGAUGGCGAAGGCAGCUUACUGGGACAUUUCUGACGCUGAAAAACGAAAGCGUGGGUAGCAAACAGG
Molecule: ribosomal RNA, 404 nt
Filed under: uncultured bacterium
Lineage: Bacteria
Description: bacterial SSU rRNA
Rfam family: Bacterial small subunit ribosomal RNA
Source: RNAcentral